RNAcentral lists this ribosomal RNA (1042 nucleotides) under Guptibacillus hwajinpoensis. RNAcentral's name for it is "bacterial SSU rRNA". It matches the Rfam family "Bacterial small subunit ribosomal RNA", at positions 30 to 1056 of the family's 1533-position model. Lineage: Bacteria; Bacillati; Bacillota; Bacilli; Caryophanales; Guptibacillaceae. The record is from RNAcentral.
CGGAAAUGGCGGCGUACUAUACAUGCAGUCGAGCGAAGAGAUGGGAGCUUGCUCCCUGAUCUUAGCGGCGGACGGGUGAGUAACACGUGGGCAACCUGCCCUGCAGACUGGGAUAACUCCGGGAAACCGGAGCUAAUACCGGGUAAUACAUCGCACCGCAUGGUGCAAUGUUGAAAGUUGGCUUUCUGAGCUAACACUGCAGGAUGGGCCCGCGGCGCAUUAGCUAGUUGGUAAGGUAAUGGCUUACCAAGGCGACGAUGCGUAGCCGACCUGAGAGGGUGAUCGGCCACACUGGGACUGAGACACGGCCCAGACUCCUACGGGAGGCAGCAGUAGGGAAUCUUCCGCAAUGGACGAAAGUCUGACGGAGCAACGCCGCGUGAGUGACGAAGGCCUUCGGGUCGUAAAGCUCUGUUGUUAGGGAAGAACAAGUACCGUUCGAAUAGGGCGGUACCUUGACGGUACCUAACCAGAAAGCCACGGCUAACUACGUGCCAGCAGCCGCGGUAAUACGUAGGUGGCAAGCGUUGUCCGGAAUUAUUGGGCGUAAAGCGCGCGCAGGCGGUCUUUUAAGUCUGAUGUGAAAGCCCACGGCUCAACCGUGGAGGGUCAUUGGAAACUGGAGGACUUGAGUGCAGAAGAGGAGAGUGGAAUUCCACGUGUAGCGGUGAAAUGCGUAGAUAUGUGGAGGAACACCAGUGGCGAAGGCGGCUCUCUGGUCUGUAACUGACGCUGAGGCGCGAAAGCGUGGGGAGCAAACAGGAUUAGAUACCCUGGUAGUCCACGCCGUAAACGAUGAGUGCUAGGUGUUGGGGGGUUCCACCCUCAGUGCUGAAGUUAACACAUUAAGCACUCCGCCUGGGGAGUACGACCGCAAGGUUGAAACUCAAAGGAAUUGACGGGGGCCCGCACAAGCAGUGGAGCAUGUGGUUUAAUUCGAAGCAACGCGAAGAACCUUACCAGUCUUGACAUCCUCUGACAAUCCUGGAGACAGGACGUUCCCCUUCGGGGGACAGAGUGACAGGUGUGCAUGGUUGUCGUC